UCCGUAGGCGGGUAAUUAAGUCAGAGGUGAAAUCCCACAGCUUAACUGUGGAACUGCCUUAGAUACUGGUUAUCUUGAGUUUUAGUGAAGUAGAUAGAAUGUAUAGUGUAGCGGUGAAAUGCAUAGAUAUUACACAGAAUACCGAUUGCGAAGGCAGUCUACUAACUAACAACUGACGCUAAUGGACGAAAGCGUGGGGAGCGAACAGGAUUAGAUACCCUGGUAGUCC
Molecule: ribosomal RNA, 229 nt
Filed under: uncultured bacterium
Lineage: Bacteria
Description: partial 16S ribosomal RNA
Rfam family: Bacterial small subunit ribosomal RNA
Source: RNAcentral